This 460-nucleotide ribosomal RNA is filed under the name uncultured bacterium. RNAcentral's name for it is "partial 16S ribosomal RNA". It matches the Rfam family "Bacterial small subunit ribosomal RNA", at positions 338 to 795 of the family's 1533-position model. The record is from RNAcentral.
CCUACGGGUGGCAGCAGUGAGGAAUAUUGGUCAAUGGACGAGAGUCUGAACCAGCCAAGUAGCGUGAAGGAUGACUGCCCUAUGGGUUGUAAACUUCUUUUAUAAAGGAAUAAAACGAGGCACGUGUGCCUUUUUGCAUGUACUUUAUGAAUAAGGAUCGGCUAACUCCGUGCCAGCAGCCGCGGUAAUACGGAGGAUCCGAGCGUUAUCCGGAUUUAUUGGGUUUUAAGGGAGCGUAGAUGGGUUGUUAAGUCAGUUGUGAAAGUUUGCGGCUCAACCGUAAAAUUGCAAUUGAUACUGGCAGUCGUGAGUACAGUUGAGGUAGGCGGAAUUCGUGGUGUAGCGGUGAAAUGCUUAGAUAUCACGAAGAACCCCGAUUGCGAAGGCAGCUUACUAAACUGUGACUGACAUUGAUGCUCGAAAGUGUGGGUAUCAAACAGGAUUAGAUACCCUAGUAGUC